RNAcentral lists this transfer RNA (58 nucleotides) under Dipodomys ordii (Ord's kangaroo rat). It matches the Rfam family "tRNA", at positions 8 to 63 of the family's 71-position model. Rfam says of the family: Transfer RNA (tRNA) molecules are approximately 80 nucleotides in length. Their secondary structure includes four short double-helical elements and three loops (D, anti-codon, and T loops). The record is from Rfam by way of RNAcentral. Lineage: Eukaryota; Metazoa; Chordata; Mammalia; Rodentia; Heteromyidae.
UGGCUCAGUGGUAGAGCACUUGCCUUCCAUGCACGAGGCCCUGGGUUCGAUUCCUCAG